RNAcentral lists this ribosomal RNA (550 nucleotides) under Phycisphaerae bacterium. RNAcentral's name for it is "partial 23S ribosomal RNA". It matches the Rfam family "Bacterial large subunit ribosomal RNA", at positions 1 to 616 of the family's 2925-position model. The record is from RNAcentral. Lineage: Bacteria; Pseudomonadati; Planctomycetota; Phycisphaerae.
UGAUCAGGCACGAAGGGCGCACGGCGGAUGUCUUGGCGUCGAGAGGCGAUGAAGGACGCGAAAACCUGCGAUAAGCCCUAGGGAGCCGGUAAAUAGGCAGAGAUCUAGGGAUUUCCGAAUGGGGCAACCCACCCGCAAGGGUAUCUGGCACUGAAUGCAUAGGUGUCAGAAGCGAACGUGGAGAAGUGAAACAUCUCAGUACCCACAGGAAAAGAAAGCAACAGCGAUUCCGCAAGUAGCGGCGAGCGAACGCGGAUGAACCAAUUGUGUGAGUGAAGCAGCUGGAAAGCUGCGCUUCAAAAGGUGACAGCCCUGUAACCACACGUUGGGGAUGCCCAUGAGUAAACUCGGGCUCGGGAAACCCGGGUUGAACACGGGGGGUCCACCCUCCAAGGCUAAAUACUCCUCGACGACCGAUAGCGAACCAGUAAGGCGACUGAACGAUGAAAACUACCGCGACGAGCGGGGUGAAAGAGUAGCUGAAACCGUGCGCUUACAAGCGGUCGGAGCCUCCUCCAAAAGAGGGGUGACGGCGUGCUUUUUGCAUAAU